Molecule: ribosomal RNA, 91 nt
Filed under: Lotharella oceanica
Lineage: Eukaryota; Cercozoa; Chlorarachniophyceae
Source: RNAcentral
AUGUCUAGGCUCUUGCAUCGAUGAAGAACGCAGCAAUCAGCGAUAUACGAUGAUAGGAGCGCUCCCGUGAAUCAUCGGAUCUUCGAACGCA